Molecule: long non-coding RNA, 4243 nt
Organism: Xenopus tropicalis (tropical clawed frog)
Lineage: Eukaryota; Metazoa; Chordata; Amphibia; Anura; Pipidae
Exons: 3
Source: RefSeq, a predicted model, not a curated record
CGGCGUUGCGUCACUUGGUAUACAUUGCAAUGGAACGCUAAAGUUCAUUGAGCUCCACUGCUGUGGUGUGUUUGGUGUAGAAGAGACGUUCUGGAGUUUUUUCUGCCGAGCUUUGGGACGUGUGGCGCCCUUAAUAUUUGGGGUGCACAACUGAGCCUUCCUCCAACAAAUUUUCUUAACCUAUGGUGCCCAGAUGUUGCUGGACUACAGUACCCAUCCUUCAAAUGUUAAUAUAUCUUUUGGGACUGAUCUGAAAGGGCACCAGGGCCAAGGACCAGUCUUCCAUACCCUUAGACAACCCUUGGUCGCACAUUGGAGAUCAACAGCUUCAAAUUAUCCAGAAAGCAAAAACUAGCAAAUAAAUGAGUAUAAAAAAGUAAAAAAAGUAUGAUAUAAGUACAAACACCAGGGGGAUGUGCUGAAUUCAGCAGAUACGUGUCAGCCUGCACACUGUAAUUAUGCUCUGCCUGUAAUUAGUAUCAUGUCGGCUUUGUCAUGCAGACCUGUGAUAGGUGGUGGGUGGGAGGAACUAUUUUUUGAGACAGGGCUGAAUGCAUUAUUCUGCCUGAUGUAUUCCCCCCCCCCCAACCUUUAUUGCUGUUAUGGUCCUCUCCUGUGCAAAAUAGUGCUUUAUCAGUUCUACCCCUGCAAUCAGCACUCCUCAGUCAUUUCAUAUUUGCUGACAAACAUAAUUACCAAGAUAAAGCCUUUUAACUUGAGCUCUUUAUUUUGAAGAGUAAGGAUGGACCACACACAUGUAGAUCUUUCAUCUGAGCUAAAGGAUUGCUAAUAGAAGUGACUUCUAGCUGCAUGGCAGCACAUUGGCACCUAUAGUGGUAACAGAGUUGAAUUUAUAGCCACCUAUUUACACUUCACUCAUUCAACCCUUUAACACCUGAUUGGGAAAUACAUUUAUUAACACCUGAGAGUCAACCCACCCAAUGCUGUACUGGCCCUUGGGGGAUACAAAUUGUGAAUGUUGACUGCAGACUGUUAGUUAUGGGACUAUUGUGUCACACAAUGUGCUGCCAAUUUACUUCUAAGACUGGGUUUUUUCAUGCCCAUCAAUGACUUAUGCUUAGGGUGACACUCAGGGAGUCACAUUGACUGGAUAGGAUGUGUUGAAUAUCUAAUAAUAUUUUGAGCUCCACCAUUACGGUCCAAGCACUACAUAACAUAAGGGCUCCACAAAACUUGUGUGCUAUGAAAUUCUGGUCACCUCCAUCCCAAAGCUCUUAUAAAGUUCUAUGCAAACAAUGAUAUUCUAAAGAUCCAAUGGCCUACUAAGCUUCUCAUAAGUAUCCCAUUUAGGUAAAGUAUUCUUCACCAAAAGUCAAUAUUGGAUGAGGAUGAGUUAAAAACAGAAAUACACCUACAAGCUAAGCAAGCUCAAGUAAUUGGGAUGCUAGGUACAAUAUAAUACAUCUCAGUGUGCCUGUAUCGUAUACAUUGUAAAUAUUUUUGGACAAAGAACCUCUUUUAAUUAAAAUACCUACAUUUGCAUUGCUGUAUAGAAACAUCAGCUUAUACAGCCAGCUAGUUUUCAGACACUUGUAUCUAGCAGCAACACUUGUUUUGGCCCUUGGGUUUGUUUACCAAAGCUGGCAGGGGUGGGUGGGUAGAUCUCAUAGUACAUUCAAGUUUACUUUCAUCACAGUGAUAGCUUCCUGUUUCCUGACAAUUCAUUGCUUACAUUAAUUACCCAGGACAUUCCAAGUAAAUUAACCUCAAUUAAGGCUUCCUGUGUGUCUCUGUGGCCAACUUCUCGCACUGAUGACUGAUUUCUUCCUCAAAUGGACACCAUUCGCUGUCUGUGAUGGGAAUGAAGUCAAGAAAGGGUACCAGGCAGUCAAGCCAAGCUUUUCUUUUCCUCUGUGGCUGUAGGCCAACUAUGGGGCCAGUAGGGGCAAUGAGUUUGUACCUUUCAAGGAAUCAAUUGGUAUCAUCAACACUUCUCUUAAGUUCCAUUUUUUUGCAGAUCUCUUUUCCUACUGGAAAUCAUCAGGUUUCGUGUUCCUAAAUAGACCAUGUCCACCUUUCCUCACACUUACUACAACAUAGCUCAGGGUUCCCCAUCCUGGCUUGGCUAUUAGCUUGAGCAUAUACAUCCCCAAGAUGGAGUUUUUCCUCCACUUUACUAGGCAAAUACAACUUCAUCUUUAUAUAUCACUUUGCAUCAUCUGACUACGGGUUAGCCAGUGGCUAAACCCGAACAAAGGGGGCAGAUGGCAUUGGGUGUGGGGCAGUCAUGCUGGGGGUUGACAUGAUGGCAUCAGAGGCAGGCUAUGACCCCUGGGCCUGGGUAUUGUAUCACUUUCAAUUCAUUGCAAUUUCUGUCCACCUUUCUCUGUUUCAUACUGGACAGAAAGUUUUAAACUUGGAAGCCCUUUGAAAAACUGGGAUGUCCAGUUCAAAAACACAUGGGUGGCACCCUAUCUCUUUCUUUGUUCUGCAUGAACAAAGUCCAAUCAUUUAAUUAAAGGUAUGGGAUCUGUUAUACAGAAAUCAGUUAUCCAAAAAUCUCUGAAAUACACCAUUCUUGACUGAUUUUCUUUUUUUGAUAGUAAGAAAUAAGUACUUGAUGAUAAGCAAUGUUGAUAGAAACAAAAUAGUGAGUAUCCUAAUAUUAAAUUGUUUUUCAUUUAUUGGCCAGAUUAUUGUUCAGGUUUUCCAAGGCUGAAAACCGAACUUAACUCUUCGGACCAAAAAGGUGGCAACCCUAGUUCCAAGUUGAAUCUGACUCUAGCCUGGCUUCUACAUCAAGGCUGAGCCUAAGCAAUACCCAGUAGAGGAUCUUUUCUUAAACGUGAGCCUUUCUGGAAAAAUUCUAGCCCAAACAUACAAUGUCACUGCACUUCAUAGAAACAGAAUUACUUGGUAAAUAAAUAUAUAUCCGAUGCAAGUUUACUGCCAAUUGCAACUGUUCUACUGAAUGUAAGCUGAAAGGGUCAUUCUAUGGUUUCAUACAGAGGGUGGUUGCUGGAUACAUGCCCAGUAUUAGGAAUCCCCGAGAGCAUGAUUUACAAGUUAGUCCUCCUGGUUAGAUCUUUAAGAACAAAGCUGACCAGGUAGACACCUGGUGGCUUUUCAACAUUUGUUUUAUAACCACACUCUGCUUGCCAAAGAGCUUCACAAAUGCUGUCUGGAUUCACACAUAAUUAUUUAACAAAGUGGUCAUUUUAUAAAUUUAAAAGUAUUGUGCAUUUGAAUCUUAGCUAUGUAUGAUCAGCUUAUCAAAGGAACCUGGAGCCAGUGGAGCCUGCAGUAUUUUUAUUUUAAAGGCCAACUAGGUGUCCAGUUUUAGUUUUCUUUUGUAUUUGGUCUCCCACAGCCCUUCUGUUAUAACUUCCUUUAGACUUACUAGCAGGGAGCAUGGACAGCAUAAUUGGUCAAUGUCCAACCAAACAACCACUCUUGUAAGAACGAUUUACAAGAAACAGCCCCUGGUUUAGCUAAAUCCCCUGUACUAAUAACAAUGCAGGAGGAACAGUCCCCUACGUUUCCUCAUAGCCUGUACGGAGAGAUAUCAUAAAACUAUAACAGCAAAGGUAUUUCCCUAUACUAAGCACAAUUCAGCAGGAACAGCCCUCCAAGAUUUCUUACAGCCUUUUUAAAAUGUUAAUAUAUAGGGUUGCCUUUAGGGGUAUCCAAAUAAAGUCUACACAUAUGGCCAUGCAGAACAGAAAAAAUAGACAGGAGGAUGUGGUAUAGUAGGACAAGAUGGUAACAAAAGGGCAAGAUGGAAAUAACCUUAUACCCACCCUCUCACUCUUCAGUUGAUAACGAUGCACAACUUGCAGGAUCCAUACUGUACAUAGACUCACAAGUCCUAUUCUUACAUGUCACAGUCUUUAUUUGUAUUAUUUUUACCUUCUGUCACAUCUUAGAACAAUUCUUUUCCCAAAACAGUCCUGUCAUAAUUAUCACCCUACUCUCUACUCUCUCUCUCUGGUCUGCUCAUGACCCUCUGGGCUUUGUAAGCAGUGUUAAUGUAAUAGCAGCUUUUAAAGCAUUUAUCUUUCAUGAAUAGUGGCUACCAUGAGUCAUAUGUAAAAUUCACCGUUGUCUAUUGUCCCUGACUUGCACAUCACUCAAUCCCUUGUCCUUCUCCCCGACUGCUCUGCCGCUCAAGCUACUUCCCUUAUAUCUUGCACUUUGCUGCACUGUACAUUAGUGGCCCACUUUAGCGGGGGACCAACUGCAGAAAGGUGCAGAGAGUUUUUGCUUUCUUAUCUCUCUGACU